RNAcentral lists this unclassified non-coding RNA (400 nucleotides) under soil metagenome. Its description in RNAcentral is "partial contains 5.8S ribosomal RNA, internal transcribed spacer 2, and large subunit ribosomal RNA". The stretch from base 1 to 120 matches the Rfam family "5.8S ribosomal RNA", at positions 35 to 154 of the family's 154-position model. The record is from RNAcentral.
GAUGAAGAACGUAGUGAAAUGCGAUACUUGGUGUGAAUUGCAGAAUCCCGUGAACCAUCGAGUCUUUGAACGCAAGUUGCGCCCGAAGCCUCGGCUAAGGGCACGUCUGCCUGGGCGUCACGCAUCGCGUCUCCCCCAAACCGCCAAGGCGGAGGGGAAGGAAGAUGGCUUCCCGUGCCUCACCCGGGCGCGGUUGGCCUAAAUUUGGAGCCCGCGGCACUUAGCUCUCGCGGCGAUAGGUGGUGAACAAGGCCUUGGCCGUGCAAACAACCCGCUGCGAAGCUCUAUGUCACGUGCGCUCGUCGGACCCUUUGAAGUUGCCUUCGGUGACUUAAAACCUUUGCGACCCCAGGUCAGGCGGGGCUACCCGCUGAAUUUAAGCAUAUCAAUAAGCGGAGGA